This 587-nucleotide ribosomal RNA is filed under the name uncultured bacterium. Its description in RNAcentral is "partial 16S ribosomal RNA". It matches the Rfam family "Bacterial small subunit ribosomal RNA", at positions 355 to 1375 of the family's 1533-position model. The record is from RNAcentral.
UGGGGAAUCUUCCGCAAUGGACGAAAGUCUGACGGAGCAACGCCGCGUGAGUGAAGAAGGUUUUCGGAUCGUAAAACUCUGUCUUUUGGGGCGAACGUGAGUAUGGUGAACAAUCAUAGUCAGUGACGGUACCAAAGGAGGAAGCCACGGCUAACUACGUGCCAGCAGCCGCGGUAAUACGUAGGUGGCAAGCGUUGUCCGGAAUUAUUGGGCGUAAAGAGCGCGUAGGCGGGAUAGUCAGUCUGUUGUAAAGUGCGGGGCUCAACCCCGUGAUCGCAAUGGAAACAGCUAUUCUUGAGUGCAGGAGAGGAAAGUGGAAUUCCCAGUGUAGCGGUGAAAUGCGUAGAUAUUGGGAGGAACACCAGUGGCGAAGGCGGCUUUCUGGACUGUGUCUGACGCUGAGGCGCGAAAGCCAGGGGAGCGAACGGGAUUAGAUACCCCGGUAGUCCUGGCCGUAAACGAUGGGUACUAGGUGUGGGAGGUAUCGACCCCUUCCGUGCCGGAGUUAACGCAAUAAGUACCCCGCCUGGGGAGUACGGUCGCAAGACUGAAACUCAAAGGAAUUGACGGGGUCAUAGCUGUUUCCU